RNAcentral lists this ribosomal RNA (525 nucleotides) under uncultured bacterium. RNAcentral's name for it is "bacterial SSU rRNA". It matches the Rfam family "Bacterial small subunit ribosomal RNA", at positions 984 to 1509 of the family's 1533-position model. The record is from RNAcentral.
ACAUCCAGAGAACUUAGCAGAGAUGCUUUGGUGCCUUCGGGAACUCUGAGACAGGUGCUGCAUGGCUGUCGUCAGCUCGUGUUGUGAAAUGUUGGGUUAAGUCCCGCAACGAGCGCAACCCUUAUCCUUUGUUGCCAGCGGCUCGGCCGGGAACUCAAAGGAGACUGCCGGUGAUAAACCGGAGGAAGGUGGGGAUGACGUCAAGUCAUCAUGGCCCUUACGGCCAGGGCUACACACGUGCUACAAUGGCGCAUACAAAGAGAAGCGACCUCGCGAGAGCAAGCGGACCUCAUAAAGUGCGUCGUAGUCCGGAUUGGAGUCUGCAACUCGACUCCAUGAAGUCGGAAUCGCUAGUAAUCGUAGAUCAGAAUGCUACGGUGAAUACGUUCCCGGGCCUUGUACACACCGCCCGUCACACCAUGGGAGUGGGUUGCAAAAGAAGUAGGUAGCUUAACCUUCGGGAGGGCGCUUACCACUUUGUGAUUCAUGACUGGGGUGAAGUCGUAACAAGGUAAGCGUAGACGU